This 322-nucleotide ribosomal RNA is filed under the name uncultured eukaryote. Its description in RNAcentral is "partial 18S ribosomal RNA". It matches the Rfam family "Eukaryotic small subunit ribosomal RNA", at positions 1470 to 1796 of the family's 1831-position model. The record is from RNAcentral.
CCCUUAGAUGUUCUGGGCCGCACGCGCGCUACACUGAUGCAUUCAACGAGCCUAUCCUUGACCGACAGGUCCGGGUAAUCUUUGAAUCUGCAUCGUGACGGGGAUAGAUUAUUGCAAUUAUUAAUCUUCAACGAGGAAUGCCUAGUAGGCGCAAGUCAUCGGCUUGCGUCGAAUACGUCCCUGCCCUUUGUACACACCGCCCGUCGCUCCUACCGAUCGAAGAGUUAGGUGAAUUGUUUUGAUCGAUAAGAUUUGACUAUGGUCAACUCUCGUUGGGAAAUUCUGUGAAUCUGACUGUUUAGAGGAAGGAAAAGUCGUAACA